GCACGCUUCGGCACAUCUCCAACUCAGCCCUUAAAAGAGCAUUAUCCUCAAGCUCCAAUUCACUUAGGGGCAUCAACUUCAAUCCUCUACCUCUCGUGGCUUCCAAUAGCUCAAUGUCUCACGCGAGCAGUAUAUCCUCGAAUACCAUAUGCCACGACCAUCACCAACUCGUUCGUGCAACGAAUCCACAUGAACAUCCGUUCGUCAUUCUAGGCCACGCCCAUCACUGAGGCUACUCGCUCAACCACUUUCAUCAAAUCCAUAGGUGAACCACAGGUCACCAAUCCUACGUAGACCUGUCGCUUAAACCAGUCUCAACUACGCGUAGUGUCUCUCGCUCACCAGUGUAGACCCAAUUAUCACUACUGGGCGAAAUUCUUAUUGGAGAAUUCGCACACACUCCAACCAGGAGCAACCAAGACCCCAAACCACGUUAAGUCCUCGGGUUGGGUCACUACCCACUAGGUGUAUCCUUGAUCUCAUGAUCCACGUGUGUCAUUCCACGCUCUCGAGUCUCAGCUUGGACUACCGCCCUGACCAAAAUUCUGCCCUACAUUGGGUCGCUGUCUCUCACAGCUGACUGUGCCUGCCCAAUGGGCCCAGGCUCCACAGUCCACAAAUGGUCCAGGCACGGGUCGUCCCCAAGCACUACUCGCCGUCGUCGUCUUAUACGACAUACUCUAUUGAGUUACACGUACCAUUACCGACUCCUAAGUGCCUAAGCACCUAGUAUGAGCCACCAGCCCUCACGAGUGAUCCGUGGCCCGCUUCACACUUAGCCCUGCCGAAGUGCUACUGCCAAUUCACUCGACCGGCUGAAUCGAGACCGCACUUCAUGCGUAAUUACACUCGAGCGCUCUACACGCCUCUACUGCGUUCCAACUAGGUCAGCAUUAGGCAACCUUGCCUAUGCAUACCCACUACACGAGCAUGACUCGCUGACCUCAACUUGAGGUACUACUCGGCUAACGUUCUCGUAUUCGGCAACUAUACGGCUACUCUCUCAACAGUGAUUCCACUACUAGCAAUUUGCUAGUACCGUCUAGCCCCCCAUCUACUCCAGCAAGCGUUACACCCUCACGCGCAAGCAUGCUCGGGUAUUUACACUUGUCCGUCACUUUGGUCCUUACUACAUCGAUGCAUCGACGAUAGCAAGCGACCACACGACGAAUGCAUGCAAGGUCCUUCGACCAAGGUCGCGUACUCACGGACACUCGUUGCCCGCCGCGAGCCUUCCGUCGUCACUUCCUCACCACUCGUUCUCUAGACCACUCUGUAGACUUCACAUCCACAAACUGUCUCGGAGAGGAAGGGGCUACCUCCUACAACGCGACCCUGCAAUCGACCGCACGAAUGCCUAUCUCACCACGCAACGCACACUACCGUGCUCGGUGAGAACUCCCACAAUCCCGCAUCUCAACACGUAGCGUCUCGGGGACAUCAGUUCCUGAAACGCAAACAUUUGGUUAAUCAUCUUAACCCGUUAAACUCGCGCGAUUACGAGAUAAAACGACUCAACAUCGCAAAUUAGGCGGGAGCACACAAGUGUACUCGUUCUAAACUCUUAGUGUCAUGUUGUCGGCCGCCCAACACAAACACUUCAAGUCAAGAAUUAAUACCACUUGAAUCCGUCUCUAGUAACUACUAGAAACAUACUAUCAACAACUUCAACCCAAUCGAAUCAACUCCCGCCACAACGCAUAGGUUCACAUCACUCACGCACCUAUAGCCCUAUGGUUUCCAUCCUAGGGUCUCCUAGGUCAAUCCUAGACUCUCUUUUUCCUUGCUCUUAACUCGCUCUGAUACCAUUUUAUCUGUCACGCCCCGAGACCGCUACCAAUUUGGUUCGAUCCGGGCGCGUCGAACAGACGCCGAACGGACAGCACCUCCCCUGUCCGCCCAAGGCUAAACAACAGGAUCAUGUACAACAAGUUCCCAGGAAAUCAACUUGAAUACAUACAUGAUCAAAACAAUAGCGAGGGCACAACCAGUGCCGAACAUUACAAGAGCAAGC
RNAcentral lists this long non-coding RNA (2014 nucleotides) under Ananas comosus (pineapple). RNAcentral's name for it is "long non-coding RNA (ACOM_LNC038135)". Lineage: Eukaryota; Viridiplantae; Streptophyta; Magnoliopsida; Poales; Bromeliaceae. The record is from RNAcentral.